Molecule: transfer RNA, 58 nt
Filed under: Strongylocentrotus purpuratus (purple sea urchin)
Lineage: Eukaryota; Metazoa; Echinodermata; Echinoidea; Camarodonta; Strongylocentrotidae
Rfam family: tRNA
About the family: Transfer RNA (tRNA) molecules are approximately 80 nucleotides in length. Their secondary structure includes four short double-helical elements and three loops (D, anti-codon, and T loops).
Source: Rfam by way of RNAcentral
GGUGUUAGAGUCGCUGCCCGGCAAGCAGUAGAUGCGGGUUCAAGUCCCGCUGGUACCA